CACGGGCCAGCGGCCCGGUCCUGACCCCAGGGCCCUGGCCAAUGCCCUGCCGCCCGAUGCCUGCUGCACAAGGAUGGCGCAGCAGAGGCGCGUUCGGGACUCUUUCUCUUCUUUUGCGAUUAAAUCCUUUGUCGGGCGUCCCCUGUGUGCCAGGCACCGUGCCAAGCGCCGAGAUUCGAGAGGUUCCAGUUCAGAAGCUACAGCACAGCUUAGCUGAGUCCUUUCCUCAGUCUCAGAAGGCUGCAGUCAAGGUGUCAGCAAGGCUCAUGCCCCUCUGGAGACCCAGCUGGAGAAGAGAACACCUGCAAACCCGCUCAGGGCUGCACUCGCAGCACAUGGGGAAAUAGCAAGAAGAGAGCAAGUGAGCAAGUGAGCUAUAUGUGUAUGUAUGGUGGACCAUGGAAUCAAAGUUGGGUAAGAAGAGGUGCGGAAGCCAUGAGGUGGGUGAGGGACAGUGAAACUGUGGUAGAACCAAUGGAUCAUAAGUCCUGAGGGAAUGGAAGAACCAUUAGAACUGGGGUAGUGGAGGGAGUGAGCUGGAAAGAUAGGAGACUGUGGUCAGAUAUAUCAGCUUUUUUAAUAUUGAAAGCACCAGGAAAUAAAUAGCAGUGCUGGAAAGAGCAACAGUGAAUCAGAAGCUAAAACCUUCAAGGAAUGAAGAGGAAUGAGCUGUCACUAACAGAGAUGUCAGCAACAAUGAAGGGGAACUGGGGAUAUAACCUGGUGGCAUGAGCGUUAGAGCUGGA
Phacochoerus africanus (Common warthog) is the source of this 746-nucleotide long non-coding RNA. RefSeq lists it as uncharacterized. The record is from RefSeq and is a predicted model, not a curated record. The transcript is spliced from 3 exons. Lineage: Eukaryota; Metazoa; Chordata; Mammalia; Artiodactyla; Suidae.